UCGGGAAUAUUGCGCAAUGGAGGAAACUCUGACGCAGUGACGCCGCGUGCAGGAAGAAGGUUUUCGGAUUGUAAACUGCUUUAGACAGGGAAGAUAUAAGACAGUACCUGUAGAAUAAGCUCCGGCUAACUACGUGCCGGCAGCCGCGGUAAUACGUAGGGAGCAAGCGUUAUCCGGAUUUAUUGGGUGUAAAGGGUGCGUAGACGGGAAGGCAAGUUGGUUGUGAAAUCCCUCGGCUUAACUGAGGAACUGCAACCAAAACUAUCUUUCUUGAGUGCUGGAGAGGAAAGUGGAAUUCCUAGUGUAGCGGUGAAAUGCGUAGAUAUUAGGAGGAACACCGGUGGCGAAGGCGACUUUCUGGACAGUAACUGACGUUGAGGCACGAAAGUGUGGGGAGCAAACAGGAUUAGAUACC
This 415-nucleotide ribosomal RNA is filed under the name uncultured bacterium. RNAcentral describes it as "bacterial SSU rRNA". It matches the Rfam family "Bacterial small subunit ribosomal RNA", at positions 355 to 786 of the family's 1533-position model. The record is from RNAcentral.